CAGUCGCCGCGGGAAUACGUAGGGUGCGAGCGUUAAUCGGAAUUACUGGGCGUAAAGCGUGCGCAGGCGGUUCGUUAAGACAGAUGUGAAAUCCCCGGGCUUAACCUGGGAACUGCAUUUGUGACUGGCGAGCUAGAGUAUGGUAGAGGGGGGUAGAAUUCCACGUGUAGCAGUGAAAUGCGUAGAGAUGUGGAGGAAUACCGAUGGCGAAGGCAGCCCCCUGGGCCAAUACUGACGCUCAUGCACGAAAGCGUGGGGGGCAAACAGGAUUAGAUACCCCUGUAGUCCCUGUCUCUUAUAC
Molecule: ribosomal RNA, 301 nt
Filed under: uncultured bacterium
Lineage: Bacteria
Description: partial 16S ribosomal RNA
Rfam family: Bacterial small subunit ribosomal RNA
Source: RNAcentral